Molecule: unclassified non-coding RNA, 173 nt
Filed under: uncultured Marasmius
Lineage: Eukaryota; Fungi; Basidiomycota; Agaricomycetes; Agaricales; Tricholomataceae
Description: sequence contains ITS1
Source: RNAcentral
UUGAAAUGCUUUGGAGAAGUACUGUUGCUGGCCUCUUAACAGAGGCAUGUGCACGUCUUCUUUAAAUCUAUUCAUCCACCUGUGCACUUUUUGUAGAAGUUCUUGUGAGGUUUUGGUUGCUUCAUUUUACCCCAACUGUAUGUCAUUAGAAUGUUGUGCCUAUAUAACAUAUA